Molecule: unclassified non-coding RNA, 395 nt
Filed under: soil metagenome
Description: partial contains 5.8S ribosomal RNA, internal transcribed spacer 2, and large subunit ribosomal RNA
Rfam family: 5.8S ribosomal RNA (bases 1-122)
Source: RNAcentral
GAUGAAGUACGUAGCGAAAUGCGAUACUUGGUGUGAAUUGCAGAAUCCCGUGAACCAUCGAGUCUUUGAACGCAAGCUGCGCCCGAAGCCAUCAGGUUGAGGGCACGUCUGCCUGGGCGUCACUUAUCGUUGCCCAAUGCCUAUUGCAGUGCAAUAGGAAUUUCUAGGGCGAAUGAUGGCUUCCCGUGAGCGUUGUUGCCUCGCGGUUGGUUGAAAAUCGAGUCCUUGGUAGGGUGUGCCAUGGUAGAUGGUGGUCGAGUUAGAACGAUACCGAUCAUGUGCAUGCCCCCCAAAAUAUGGCCUCUAUGACCCACACGCGUCUUUUGACGCUCAUGACGAGACCUCAGGUCAGGCGGGGCUACCCGCUGAAUUUAAGCAUAUCAAUAAGCGGAGGA